Molecule: transfer RNA, 77 nt
Rfam family: tRNA (bases 7-68)
About the family: Transfer RNA (tRNA) molecules are approximately 80 nucleotides in length. Their secondary structure includes four short double-helical elements and three loops (D, anti-codon, and T loops).
GUUACCGAAGGGUAGACUGGUUAACCCAGCGGCCUGUGGAGCCGCGGAUCGCGGGUUCAAGUCCCGCCCCGGGCCCU